AGAUGGCCAUCCUGCGACUAUGCUAACCGCGUAGUCGCGUACUACUAUUCUUCUUCCACCGCCCAUUUCUGCCGUUUUCUUUUUCUUAUUCUCUAAUGAGUUUCGUUCUGAGAUAAGGUCUUCUCACGAUUAUCAUUUUUAGGGAUUAAUUUGAUAUUUUUUUGGUUAUAGAAGUUCCAAUUUGAUUUAAAUUUUGGAUUUACCAAGUGAAACUUACAAAAGAAAAAAAAAACACGAGGAAGUUUGGGUUUAAUUAGAGUUGAUGACUUGAAAUUCUAAGUGGAAACAAUGAAGAAGGGACCUGUCCUUAGGCGGGUAUCAGUUCGAGACCUUGCGGAUAAGUUCGAGAAAGGCUUCGCUGAUGCUGAGGCUGUUGGAAAAUCUGAUGAGUCUAAACUUAGAGAAUUAGUUGCAUUGGAAAGACAUGUUCUUCUGGAGAAGCUAAAUAGUGCACUUGGAUCCUUGCAAGUCCGCGUAACUGAUCGAACUAAAGAUGAUGUAGAUGAAGCUAUUUCUAUGGUGGCAGAUUUAUCUGUCAAGUUGAAACAAAGUGACGGAGAGUUUUCUCAAGAAAAGGAGCAUGUGAAGAUACUAGCAGAUUUUCUCAAGCAGGCUAUAGAAGAUACUAAAAGACUCGUUGACGAGGAAAAAAACUUUGCUCGUCAUGAGAUUGAGAUUGCUAAAGCUGCAGUGCAGAGAGUUGAAGAGGCAUUUCAGGAGCAACAGAGAAUACCUAUAACAUCUGACAAUUUGGGGUCUGAAGAUUUAAUGAAGGAGGUUCAAGACGCUAGAAGAAUUAAAAUGCUGCAUCAACACAGCAAGGUACUGGAGAUGGAACUUGAACUUCAAGAAUUAAGAAUCCAGCUUGCGGAGAUGUCCACAUAUUCUAAUCAGCUUCUUAAGGAGCUCACAAUGAGUAAGGGCCUUGAGGAAAACAAGUGCUACUUGUAUGAAUUGGAUGGCCCUGAAAUUCUGGGUUCCUAUCUGUGCAUCACUCCACGCACAGAAACAGCUCCACAUCUUUCAGAGUGUUCAGUCCAAUGGUAUCGUAUAUGUUCUAAAGAUAAGGAGAAAAAAAUUAUUUCAGGGGCAACAAAAUUGGUUUAUGCUCCAGAGCCGUUUGAUGUUGGGCAAAUCUUACUAGCAGAUAUUGUUGUAAAUAGCGAAAGACUCAGUGUGCAAACCAACGGUCCCAUCGGUCCAGCUCCAGGGUUGGGAAGCUAUAUAGAGGAGCUCGUAAGGAUAUCCGAAACCGAGUUUAAUGUAGUUGUUAUCCAGAUGAACGAAGAGAUUUAUUCAGUGCAUUCUGUUCACGUAUUUCACGUGGGGAAGAUGAGGGUGAAGCUUUCUGAAGGAAGAUUUGUCAAGGCAAAAGAAUCUUAUUCUACUUCAAUGCAGCUGUGUGGGACUAGAGGGGGUGGUAAUGCAGCAGCACUGUCGUUGUUUUGGCAAGCAAAAGAGGGACUGUCCUUUGUAUUAGCCUUCGAAUCGGACAGAGAAAGAAAUGCAGCUAUUAUGCUUGCCAGGAGAUUUGCGUUUGAUUGGAGUAUCGCACUUCUUGGACCGGGUGAUUGCACAAUUUGGAAUGGGUGAUUGCACAAUGAGAUCCUAACAAAAUGUCACAUCGGCUUCACACCUUCACCCAAUACUUAGCUUUCGGGAAAGCUUUUGCACGCUUGGUAGUCUUGCUGUACCGACUGGCUCGCUGCAGCUACACUCAGGGUCCAGACGCCCUGUGAACCACAUUGAAACAGCUACACUCAGGGUCCAGACGCCUUGUGAACCACAUUGAAAUUAGACGAGGACCAUGUGGUUGAAAACUUGAAAGUUUUGUCCAAAAUAGACUGAAAUUUUCACUGCCAACACGAAAUUUUCUAGGAACUUGGAUCUGUAACUAAUCUCUGAAAUGUUUCCCAAACUAAGGUUUGAAAAUCAACAACGUUCGCUAGGGGUGGGUGUACUGCAGAGUGAGGAGAAGAUUGUACAAUAAAAAGUAACCUGUUAUAGGGGCGGCAUGGUUUAUUAGAGGGACGGCAGUGUGAUAGUAAUGUCCCUCUAGUUGGUUUAGGGAUGUCCUAUAGGGGUGUAAAUUAACUAGAUUAUCCUCCCCAUUUUUUUAACCUAAAUCAAAGCUAAAUUGAAAAUUUGUUUUCUUUCUUCUUCUCUUCCCCUCCUCCC
Molecule: RNA transcript, 2178 nt
Organism: Papaver somniferum (opium poppy)
Lineage: Eukaryota; Viridiplantae; Streptophyta; Magnoliopsida; Ranunculales; Papaveraceae
Gene name: stomatal closure-related actin-binding protein 1-like
Exons: 14
Source: RefSeq, a predicted model, not a curated record